AGCUUUAUAGUCAAUAAUGAUAUUAGACUGCAAUUCUAAAGGAGUAAAGUAUUUACUAAGGCUU
This 64-nucleotide transfer RNA is filed under the name Exorista sorbillans. RNAcentral's name for it is "tRNA-Cys". Lineage: Eukaryota; Metazoa; Arthropoda; Insecta; Diptera; Tachinidae. The record is from RNAcentral.